This 519-nucleotide ribosomal RNA is filed under the name uncultured bacterium. RNAcentral's name for it is "bacterial SSU rRNA". It matches the Rfam family "Bacterial small subunit ribosomal RNA", at positions 502 to 1023 of the family's 1533-position model. The record is from RNAcentral.
UACGUGCCAGCAGCCGCGGUAAUACGGAAGGUCCAGGCGUUAUCCGGAUUUAUUGGGUUUAAAGGGAGCGUAGGCGGAUUGUUAAGUCAGCGGUUAAAGGGUGUGGCUCAACCAUACAUUGCCGUUGAAACUGGCGAUCUUGAGUGCAGACAGGGAUGCCGGAAUUCGUGGUGUAGCGGUGAAAUGCUUAGAUAUCACGAAGAACUCCGAUCGCGAAGGCAGGUGUCCGGGCUGCAACUGACGCUGAGGCUCGAAAGUGUGGGUAUCAAACAGGAUUAGAUACCCUGGUAGUCCACACAGUAAACGAUGUAUACUCGCGGUUUGCGAUAGACAGUAAGCCGCCAAGCGAAAGCAUUAAGUAUACCACCUGGGGAGUACGCCGGCAACGGUGAAACUCAAAGGAAUUGACGGGGGCCCGCACAAGCGGAGGAACAUGUGGUUUAAUUCGAUGCAACGCGAAGAACCUUACCUGGUCUUGACAUACGCAGAAUCUUGCAGAGAUGCGAGAGUGCUUCGGGA